RNAcentral lists this RNase P RNA (330 nucleotides) under Candidatus Pullichristensenella avicola. Its description in RNAcentral is "Bacterial RNase P class A". It matches the Rfam family "Bacterial RNase P class A". Rfam says of the family: Ribonuclease P (RNase P) is a ubiquitous endoribonuclease, found in archaea, bacteria and eukarya as well as chloroplasts and mitochondria. Lineage: Bacteria; Bacillati; Bacillota; Clostridia. The record is from RNAcentral.
AGGGCGCCGGGCGGCCGCAGGCGGCUUGUCCGUCUGAGGAAAGUCCGAGCUCCAUAGGGCAGGGUGCCGGUUAACUGCCGGUGGAGGCGACUCCAAGGAAAGUGCAACAGAGAUAUACCGCGUUUCCUUUGGGAAACGUAAGGGUGGAAAGGCGAGGUAAGAGCUCACCAGCGGCUUGGCGACUUGUCCGCUCUGUAAACCCCACCUGGCGCAAGAUUGAUAGGGGAGCAUAUGCGGCGGCCCGUCGCGCUCCCGGGUAAUCGCUUGAGCCCGCUGGCAACCGCGGGCCUAGAUAGAUGGCCGUCCAAGACAGAACUCGGCUUACAGACG